RNAcentral lists this ribosomal RNA (481 nucleotides) under uncultured bacterium. RNAcentral describes it as "partial 16S ribosomal RNA". It matches the Rfam family "Bacterial small subunit ribosomal RNA", at positions 28 to 507 of the family's 1533-position model. The record is from RNAcentral.
GAUGAACGCUGGCGGCGUGCUUAACACAUGCAAGUCGAACGAAGCACUUUAUUUGAUUUCCUUCGGGACUGAUUAUUUUGUGACUGAGUGGCGGACGGGUGAGUAACGCGUGGGUAACCUGCCUUGUACAGGGGGAUAACAGUUGGAAACGGCUGCUAAUACCGCAUAAGCGCACAGCAUCGCAUGAUGCAGUGUGAAAAACUCCGGUGGUAUAAGAUGGACCCGCGUUGGAUUAGCUAGUUGGUGAGGUAACGGCCCACCAAGGCGACGAUCCAUAGCCGGCGUGAGAGGGUGACCGGCGACAUUUGGACUGGGACACAGCCCAAACUCCUACGGGAGGCAGCAAGGGGGAAUAUUGCAAAAUGGGCGAAAGCAUGAUGCAGCGACGGCGCGUAAGCGAAGAAGUAUUUAGGUAUGUAAAGCACUAUAAGCAGGGAAGAUAAUGACGGUACCUGAAGAAGAAGCACCGGCUAAAUACGUG